GAAACUCAUUUUUUGAUUGAGCACUUCUAAGAUUGCUCAUAAACUAGAUCAACUAUUUUUCUGUACUAUUGAAAUAAAAUCGAUUUACUUUUUUUGUUCCAGAGGCUAGUGGCAUAUCUGGUUUUCUUCGCUAGAGCCCAUUGUGGAGAAUUGGGAUGGAAUGGUAUGAUUUGGGAUUUGUUCAAUCACUGAAAGCAAUGGGCAUAUUGGCAUCAUAUCCUCUACCAAAUCAAGGUAAGGCCGACGAUAUGAAAAUGUUUACCAAAACAGCUACGAGCAGUAUCUGAGGGGUUGUCAGACUAACUUGUUGCUCCAUGAAUAUCAUACUAGCACCAUUAAGAUUGCUAAUCGGCAAAACAAUCAAUGAAAGUGGGCUUUAAUAUAGCUGAAAAUAAUUUUUCCCGAAAGCACUAAACUAUCGUUGCCUUUCAAGGGAUUGAUGUAGUGGACUUGAAUGCUAAAUUUGUAGCACCAUACUAGUGGCAUUGUGAUCGUUGGCUAGCAAAACAAUCGGUGGUUGUAGCCCAUGAUAUUGCUUAUGGCAACAAUGACCAUCCGGAGCAUCAAAUAAUUGUUGGCCCCCAAAGAAUGAUAUGGAAAAAGAGUCCAUUUUCCGAAAAGAAUAUUAGUUGUGUUGGACUCCCAAAUCAGUAACUGGAAUAUUGCCAUACGGGAUUAUGUGUAUUAAUUGCCCCCAAUUUUGUUUGAAUAGCUAUUGUGGGGUGGAAAAUUUUUUAAACCACUUGGUGGAAUGAUAAUGGUAGGAUGCGCUAGCAGGGUUGUUGAACCGAUUGUUGCCUUGAAGGCACCUUACCAAUGAUGUUAAGAUCGCUUAUUGGCAGGACAAUCGACGGUUACAGUUAAAAAUAGUUGUUCCCAGAGAACAUCGAAUUGCCCCUGUAAAGAAAUUGAUGUAGUGGACAAUCCUCUUAGGCAAGAAACAUACUAUCCACAUCAUUUUUCGAAUCAAUCUUUGGGAUGUUUCCAUAUGAGGUUUGAUACAUCAUUUGCUUCCUAAAUUCUUUUGUGUUUCCAUUGUGAUUUAUAAAGAUUGUUGAACCAUUUGAAGAGUCCCUCUAAAGCAUUUGUAUCUAUCCAAACUGUAAUAAAUGCAUCUUUGAAAAUGCAAAUGAUAGAAAAAAAAAAUUUUAAAAAUAAUUCAUAACUGCCGCAGGCUGUAAAAUAUAAGCAGUUUGAUUCAUGCUCAGUAUCCGAACCGACAUUAUUUGGGUUGCACAACUAGAAAAAUUUGGCGUACCAUAGGUGUUGGAUGUUUUUUGACUGUGAUA
Long non-coding RNA from Andrographis paniculata, 1289 nucleotides. RefSeq lists it as uncharacterized. The record is from RefSeq and is a predicted model, not a curated record. The transcript is spliced from 3 exons. Lineage: Eukaryota; Viridiplantae; Streptophyta; Magnoliopsida; Lamiales; Acanthaceae.